RNAcentral lists this ribosomal RNA (743 nucleotides) under uncultured bacterium. RNAcentral describes it as "bacterial SSU rRNA". It matches the Rfam family "Bacterial small subunit ribosomal RNA", at positions 103 to 863 of the family's 1533-position model. The record is from RNAcentral.
CGGGUGAGUAACGCGUAGGCAACCUGCCCCAUACAGAGGGAUAGCCUCGGGAAACCGGGAUUAAAACCUCAUAACGCGAAAGGUUCACAUGGACUUUUCGCCAAAGAUUUAUCGGUAUGGGAUGGGCCUGCGUCUGAUUAGCUAGUUGGUGAGGUAACGGCUCACCAAGGCAACGAUCAGUAGCCGACCUGAGAGGGUAAUCGGCCACAUUGGAACUGAGACACGGUCCAAACUCCUACGGGAGGCAGCAGUGGGGAAUAUUGCACAAUGGGCGAAAGCCUGAUGCAGCAACGCCGCGUGAGCGAUGAAGGCCUUUGGGUCGUAAAGCUCUGUCCUUGGGGAAGAAAAAAAUGACGGUACCCUUGGAGGAAGCCCCGGCUAACUACGUGCCAGCAGCCGCGGUAAUACGUAGGGGGCAAGCGUUAUCCGGAAUUAUUGGGCGUAAAGAGUGCGUAGGUGGUUUUGUAAGCGCGAGGUGAAAGGCAAUAGCUCAACUAUUGUAAGCCUUGCGAACUGCAAGACUUGAGUGCAGGAGAGGAAAGUGGAAUUCCUAGUGUAGCGGUGAAAUGCGUAGAUAUUAGGAGGAACACCAGUGGCGAAGGCGACUUUCUGGACUGUAACUGACACUGAGGCACGAAAGCGUGGGGAGCAAACAGGAUUAGAUACCCUGGUAGUCCACGCCGUAAACGAUGAGCACUAGGUGUCGGGGCCGCAAGGUUUCGGUGCCGCAGUUAACGCAUUAA